UGAUUUUGAAAGUGUCAUCCAAGAAGACUUUUAAGGCAGAAAUCUCAUCACAGUCAUGCCCAAUUACAAUUAUAUCAUCAACAUAUACAGCUACCACAACAAGGGAAUCAGGAGUACCUUUGAGAAAUAAAGAAUAAUCAUUCAAAGAGUGUCUGUAACCUCUGGAAUGAAGAGCAGAAGACAGUCUAGCAUACCACUGUCUGGAGGCCUGCCUG
RNAcentral lists this long non-coding RNA (215 nucleotides) under Nicotiana benthamiana. Its description in RNAcentral is "long non-coding RNA (NBEN_LNC000491)". Lineage: Eukaryota; Viridiplantae; Streptophyta; Magnoliopsida; Solanales; Solanaceae. The record is from RNAcentral.